AUUGAACGCUGGCGGCAUGCCUUACACAUGCAAGUCGAACGGUAACAGGUCUUCGGAUGCUGACGAGUGGCGAACGGGUGAGUAAUACAUCGGAACGUGCCCAGACGUGGGGGAUAACGAGGCGAAAGCUUUGCUAAUACCGCAUACGAUCUAAGGAUGAAAGCCGGGGACCGCAAGGCCUUGUGCGUUUGGAGCGGCCGAUGGCAGAUUAGGUAGUUGGUGGGAUAAAAGCUUACCAAGCCGACGAUCUGUAGCUGGGCUGAGAGGACGACCAGCCACACUGGGACUGAGACACGGCCCAGACUCCUACGGGAGGCAGCAGUGGGGAAUUUUGGACAAUGGGCGAAAGCCUGAUCCAGCAAUGCCGCGUGCAGGAUGAAGGCCUUCGGGUUGUAAACUGCUUUUGUACGGAACGAAAAGGCUCUGGCUAAUACCUGGGGCACAUGACGGUACCGUAAGAAUAAGCACCGGCUAACUACGUG
Molecule: ribosomal RNA, 482 nt
Filed under: uncultured bacterium
Lineage: Bacteria
Description: partial 16S ribosomal RNA
Rfam family: Bacterial small subunit ribosomal RNA
Source: RNAcentral